Molecule: transfer-messenger RNA, 379 nt
Filed under: Burkholderiales
Lineage: Bacteria; Pseudomonadati; Pseudomonadota; Betaproteobacteria
Also listed under: 1 other name
Description: Rhodoferax_A sp002002705 Standard tmRNA
Rfam family: transfer-messenger RNA
About the family: Bacterial tmRNA, also known as 10Sa RNA or SsrA, is named for its dual tRNA and mRNA-like properties. Its role is to liberate the mRNA from a stalled ribosome.
Source: RNAcentral
GGGGCUGCACUGGUUUCGACGUGGGUACGGAAUCGCUGUGGUGCAUGUCGAGCUUGAGUAACGCUCGUAAAAAUCGACUCAACAAACUAACUGCAAACGACGAACGUUUCGCACUCGCUGCUUAAUAACCAGUGAGCCUUACAACAGCAGGCCGAUGGGCUGGGCAAGGGUGCCGCAAGGCGUCCAGGCUGUAAGGUUAUUCACAUCGGCUGGCUUCGGACCGGGUACCUUGGUUCAGAGCGAGACAAUAGGGUGCUGGCGUCCUGUGUAGCGUGCGACUGCGCGACACAGGUGGCGAGACUUAAAUCAGACCGCUAAACAUGUAGAUCUGCGCGAAGAAGGCUUGCGGACGGGGGUUCGAAUCCCCCCAGCUCCACCA